CAGCUGGUAGGGAGGCAGAGCAGGUCUUGGGGACCCAUGGCCAGACCAGUAGCCCAGGCAGCAUGGAACAGAAAGCUCCUGAGUGCCAUGUGCCCUGCUGCCUCCGCCCUCAGGCCCCACUACCUUCCGACCCACCUGGACCUAACCACCCCCGCUGGGGCACGCACUGAGGCUGGGCUCAGCGGUGUGCACAGUUCCUGUUUCUGGGAAUCACUCUUCCAGUCAGAUGGAGAAGAAGAGCCACCUUACCUCUGUGAAGGGGGUAAAUGGGAGACGGAGCAGGCAGGGACCCUGGCGCAGGCCCCCUCCUCCUCUCCCGAGUCUCACCUCCAGGAUGUCAGCGGUGGGGAUCUCCAUGGAUUCUGUUCCUCCGUAGUACAGAUACUGCAUCAUCAUCUGUGGUGGGAAGAGGCCCGGGUGAAUGCCACGUGGACCUGAGGCAUGAAAGUCCUUGCCGGCCCCACAGGGUACUGCUCCAGCUGCCACCUCCAGGGGCCUGUCCCUCUGCAGGUCCCCAGCUCUGUCUCUCCCUCCCUCUCCUGCUCAGGCUGAGACUUGUGUUUUCCCGGGAACGCCACCUCUAGAAGCCAACUCCAAGACCCUCUCUCCUGAGUCCCUGCCUGGAUGACAAGCUCCCUCCAUGGAAUGUUUCCCUACAAUCCUCAUAAGAACACCGUGAGCCCAGGAGGGAAGUUCCUAUCCGCAGUUGGGGAAACUGAGGCCCAGGGAAGGAAGAUGACUUGGCUCAAGUCCCUCAGCUCCCCUGAUGCCUGCAGCAGGACUCGCGUCAUGCCUGGCCCCACGUGACUCAUUGCUGGUAUGAUCUAGAUUCUACAUGGGGAGUAGCAGUGGGGGGUCUCUGAAGGGAUGUUGGAGGACGCUGUCUGCUGCCUUCCCCUGUCUGUACAAGGACUCCAAUGUGGAGGUAAGAGUCCAUCCGGACUCUGUCUCAGGUGUGCUCCCUCAACAACAAAGCGCAGAGCCCAGGCCCAGAGGCCCGGAGCUCCCCUCGACAGGUUGAGCCCCGCCUUGGGCUCCCAGAUGAGGUGGUCCAGGACCGGGAACUAUUUAGUUCUGCUGAGGUUUCAGUUACAAACGCGGCCAUCACGCUGGAGCCUAGUGAAGUUCCCAGUUGGAAAAAGAAAAACGAUUCUUUCUGGCUGGCUGAAGAAACGGCCCCAGCAAGGAGCUGGCAAGUGUGUAAGUAAACACGGCUCCAGCCGGCACAGUCGGGCUCUGUCAAGACCGGCCGUGAGGCUGCAGAGGCACCAGAGGGUCUAGGAGAAGGCCCAACUGCAGGGAGAGAAGUCGGGAGACGGGCCUGCCAGCCUCGUUCAGGCAUCAGGAGACGCUGGCCAAGGCCCACCCUGGAGAUGUCAGCCUCUCCCCACCUCUAGAGGUCUGAGAAGCUCCCACGGCCUUCUGCAGCCCCUACUGGAGCCUGGAUGGCGAGCUCACGAUUGCAUAGAUGCGCGCCUCACAGCCACAUGCUCGACCACUGUGACUGGGGUUCGAUGCCUGGGAGAAGUGACAGCCUCCACAGCCUCCAGCAGCACUUCUCAAACUGUACUGAGCACAUGGCCACCUGGGGAUCUUGUGAAGAUGCAGGAGGGCUGGGGCGGGGCCUGGGGCUCUGCAUUUCCAACAAGGUCUCAGAAAUGCCCAUUGGCUGGGAGCCCACCCUGAUAACAAGAACUCACUCCACGGCUGUGUGGCCUGUGUCUGUCCUUGCAUGUCUGUCUGCAGGCUGCCCAGACCACCUGUCUAGCGGUUAGAGCUCAGUGCCCAUGCAACAGGCUCUGAAGCUGCAGCCCCACAACGGGAUGGCUGCCUCUGCACAGAGAAAGACCUGGAUGCUCUAUUGAUUCAACAAAAUACAGAAGGCACUGGGAAUAGAGUGGACAAUGUCAGCCUACACACAGCUGCCCACAAAGGUGAGCUCCUGGGGGAGGGUCAUCCCUCCGAGAAGAGGGCGGCACCAAGACCCACACACCUGAAAAAUAUGGUACUUCAUGUCGCUGAUCUCAAUGGUCUUGCUGCUGUCCCCGUCCUGUUCUGAUUUAUUGGUCAUUAGUGUCUUGAACCUGGAGUAAAGGAGACAAAGCAAGGCGGAUUUUGAACCUUUUACUCCACCACUGUGUGGCGAUGGCACCAUCUGUCACCUGACCGGCUGCCAUGAGACGGAGCAUUUUAAACAUUAUUGCUGUGCUCCUAAAAUAAUUUUCAGCGAGUGCCAUUUUACACAAUCCUAGGAAGACAUCUGGGCUGAGCCCGAUUCUGUCCCCACCACCCACCAUACAAGCGACCUGACUCCUGUGGCCAGAAUGCUGACUCUUCAUUCCAGAAUAUGUUUGCUAAUAAUCAAAGCAAUAACUCGGUCAGAAAGAACACCACCUCAGAGCCCCCCUUCCCUGCUGCCCCGGGUCCACCCGGCCUUGUCCCGCUGUGGGGCGAGUGGGGCUCUGCUGCCACGUGACCGCAGUCUGAGGGGCACAGGCUGUAGGGUACAGCCCCAGCGAGUCACUCUCUGUCACCUCGAAUCUGAAACAAGGUGCUUCUGUGCCAUGGGCUGGGAGUUUGUUAUCUGAGGCUGCCUACCUGUUAGAAGCUGUCACCAGCAGGACUUUAUGUGCAUAAAACAGCUUUCCUUCCACUAGGAAGGUCACA
Molecule: non-coding RNA, 2667 nt
Organism: Chlorocebus sabaeus (green monkey)
Lineage: Eukaryota; Metazoa; Chordata; Mammalia; Primates; Cercopithecidae
Source: RefSeq, a predicted model, not a curated record